RNAcentral lists this ribosomal RNA (501 nucleotides) under uncultured bacterium. RNAcentral's name for it is "partial 16S ribosomal RNA". It matches the Rfam family "Bacterial small subunit ribosomal RNA", at positions 30 to 523 of the family's 1533-position model. The record is from RNAcentral.
AUUGAACGCUGGCGGCAGGCUUAACACAUGCAAGUCGAGCGGAGAUGAGGUGCUUGCACCUUAUCUUAGCGGCGGACGGGUGAGUAAUGCUUAGGAAUCUGCCUAUUAGUGGGGGACAACAUUCCGAAAGGAAUGCUAAUACCGCAUACGUCCUACGGGAGAAAGCAGGGGAUCUUCGGACCUUGCGCUAAUAGAUGAGCCUAAGUCGGAUUAGCUAGUUGGUGGGGUAAAGGCCUACCAAGGCGACGAUCUGUAGCGGGUCUGAGAGGAUGAUCCGCCACACGGGGACUGAGCCACGGCCCAGACUCCUACGGGAGGCAGCAGGGGGGAAUAUUGGACAAUGGGGGGAACCCUGAUCCAGCCAUGCCGCGUGUGUGAAGAAGGCCUUAUGGUUGUAAAGCACUUUAAGCGAGGAGGAGGCUACUGAGACUAAUACUCUUGGAUAGUGGACGUUACUCGCAGAAUAAGCACCGGCUAACUCUGUGCCAGCCGCCGCAGUAA